GAUGAACGCUGGCGGCGUGCCUAAUACAUGCAAGUCGAACGCUGGAAAUCUAGCUUGCUCGAUUGAAGGAGUGGCGAACGGGUGAGUAAUACAUAAGCAACCUACCCACGAAGACUGGGAUAAUCUCUGGAAACGGGGACUAAUACCGGAUAGGUAAUCGGAAGGCAUCUUCUGAUUAUUAAAGGUUAAAACCACUGGUGGAUGGGCUUAUGGCGCAUUAGUUAGUUGGUGAGGUAACGGCCCACCAAGACGAUGAUGCGUAGCCGGCCUGAGAGGGUGAACGGCCACAUUGGGACUGAGACACGGCCCAGACUCCUACGGGAGGCAGCAGUAGGGAAUUUUCGGCAAUGGGGGAAACCCUGACCGAGCAACGCCGCGUGAGUGAGGACGGCCUUCGGGGUGUAAAGCUCUGUUGUAAGGGAAGAACGGUAGAUAGAGAAUAUCUAAAUGACGGUACCUGACCAGAAAGCCACGGCUAACUACGUG
RNAcentral lists this ribosomal RNA (486 nucleotides) under uncultured bacterium. RNAcentral's name for it is "partial 16S ribosomal RNA". It matches the Rfam family "Bacterial small subunit ribosomal RNA", at positions 28 to 507 of the family's 1533-position model. The record is from RNAcentral.